AGUUUGAUCCUGGCUCAGGACGAACGCUGGCGGCGUGCCUAAUACAUGCAAGUCGAACGAACGGAUAAGGAGCUUGCUCUUUUGAAGUUAGUGGCGGACGGGUGAGUAACACGUGGGUAACCUGCCUCACAGCUGGGGAUAACAUCGAGAAAUCGAUGCUAAUACCGAAUGUGCUGAACAUCAUAAGAUGUUCAAGUGAAAGACGGUUUCGGCUGUCACUGUGAGAUGGACCCGCGCUGGAUUAGCUAGUUGGUAAGGUAAUGGCUUACCAAGGCGACGAUCCAUAGCCGACCUGAGAGGGUGAUCGGCCACAUUGGGACUGAGACACGGCCCAAACUCCUACGGGAGGCAGCAGUAGGGAAUCUUCGGCAAUGGACGAAAGUCUGACCGAGCAACGCCGCGUGAGCGAAGAAGGCCUUCGGGUCGUAAAGCUCUGUUGUUAGAGAAGAACAUGGGUGAGAGUAACUGUUCACCCCUUGACGGUAUCUAACCAGAAAGCCACGGCUAACUACGUGCCAGCAGCCGCGGUAAUACGUAGGUGGCAAGCGUUGUCCGGAAUUAUUGGGCGUAAAGCGCGCGCAGGCGGUCUCUUAAGUCUGAUGUGAAAGCCCCCGGCUCAACCGGGGAGGGUCAUUGGAAACUGGGAGACUUGAGGACAGAAGAGGAGAGUGGAAUUCCAAGUGUAGCGGUGAAAUGCGUAGAUAUUUGGAGGAACACCAGUGGCGAAGGCGGCUCUCUGGUCUGUUACUGACGCUGAGGCGCGAAAGCGUGGGGAGCAAACAGGAUUAGAUACCCUGGUAGU
RNAcentral lists this ribosomal RNA (802 nucleotides) under uncultured bacterium. Its description in RNAcentral is "bacterial SSU rRNA". It matches the Rfam family "Bacterial small subunit ribosomal RNA", at positions 10 to 794 of the family's 1533-position model. The record is from RNAcentral.